This 208-nucleotide ribosomal RNA is filed under the name Deltaproteobacteria bacterium. RNAcentral describes it as "partial 16S ribosomal RNA". It matches the Rfam family "Bacterial small subunit ribosomal RNA", at positions 1 to 205 of the family's 1533-position model. The record is from RNAcentral. Lineage: Bacteria; Pseudomonadati; Myxococcota; Myxococcia.
UACACGGAGAGUUUGAUCCUGGCUCAGAAUGAACGCUGGCGGCGUGCCUAACACAUGCAAGUCGUACGAGAAGGAAGACUUCGGUUUUCUGGACAGUGGCGCACGGGUGAGUAACGCGUGGGUAACCUACCCUCGAGUUUGGAAUAACGCUCCGAAAGGGGUGCUAAUACCAAAUAUGACCACAGAGACUUCGGUCUCAGGGGUAAAA